UCGUGCCGUACUUGCACGUCCCCUGCACGUCUGCAAAUUCAGGGGAGCACAUCAGCCGGCAGAAUUGGCUGAAACUCUCAGGCCCGAGCUGGCCUCGAUCUGUCGUCCGACUCUGACUGAACUCACCUUGGCCUUUGGCCACCACCACCACGGCCUCACACUCUCCGGCGAAGUCCUUGGCGUCGACGUAGCGCUUCGCCUUCAGACAGCGUCGAUCUCGCCAUGAUUGUACCUUAACAAUGUCGGCCCAGCGGUCGGCGGAGUAGUCCGUGGGGUCGAGCGCAUUCAGGCCGCCGGCGAGGAUGUGGUGGCCAUCGGCCGAUCGCAGGAUGGAGUUGACCUGCUUCAUCCUCAAGCCCUCGUCGAGGUGGUCCAGAUGGGUGCAGUGGAAGUUCACCUCCCCUGCUCCCGGCACAUCCACAGUGACCCUCAGUACGUUCCUGCUCUCUUGCACAAUACACUGUUCAGCUGUUUGUUAAUUACUAUACUUCCCCGUCACAAGUAGAUUUAUUUCCUUUUUUCACUACAUUUCUCGUUGUAUGUCAAAUACACACUUAUGAUCUUUGACAAACAUUUAUCUUAACAA
Panicum hallii is the source of this 586-nucleotide long non-coding RNA. RefSeq lists it as uncharacterized. The transcript has 2 exons. NCBI's taxonomy places the organism in Eukaryota, Viridiplantae, Streptophyta, Magnoliopsida, Poales, Poaceae. The record is from RefSeq and is a predicted model, not a curated record.